AGCCCGCAGAUGGGCACUGAGACAAGGGCCCAGGCCCUACGGGGCGCAGCAGUCGCGAAAACUCCGCAAUGCGCGAAAGCGUGACGGGGCUACCCCGAGUGCCGUCCGCUGAGGAUGGCUUUUCCCCGGUGUAAUGAGCCGGGGGAAUAAGGAGAGGGCAAGCCUGGUGUCAGCCGCCGCGGUAAAACCAGCUCUCCGAGUGGUAGGGACGAUUAUUGGGCUUAAAGCGUCCGUAGCCGGCCUGGCAAGUCUCCCGUUAAAUUCAGCGACUUAAUCGUUGGGCCGCGGGAGAUACUGUUGGGCUAGGAGGCGGGAGAGGUCGACGGUAUUCUCGGGGUAGGGGUGAAAUCCUAUAAUCCCGGGAGGACCACCAGUGGCGAAGGCUGUCGGCUAGAACGCGCUUGACGGUGAGGGACGAAAGCUGGGGGAGCGAACCGGAUUAGAUACCCGGGUAGUCCCAGCUGUAAACGAUGCGGGCUAGGUGUUGGGGUGGCUAUGAGCCACUUCAGUGCCGCAGGGAAGCCAUUAAGCCCGCCGCCUGGGGAGUACGGCCGCAAGGCUGAAACUUAAAGGAAUUGGCGGGGGAGCACCACAAGGCGUGAAGCUUGCGGUUU
Molecule: ribosomal RNA, 614 nt
Filed under: uncultured crenarchaeote
Lineage: Archaea; Thermoproteati; Thermoproteota
Description: bacterial SSU rRNA
Rfam family: Archaeal small subunit ribosomal RNA
Source: RNAcentral